UACGUAGGGGGCUAGCGUUGUCCGGAAUCAUUGGGCGUAAAGAGCGCGUAGGCGGCUAGAUAAGUCCGGUGUGAAAGUCACAGGCUCAACCUGUGAAUGCCGCUGGAAACUGUCUGGCUAGAGUCCGGAAGGGGCGAGUGGAAUUCCUGGUGUAGCGGUGAAAUGCGCAGAUAUCAGGAGGAACACCGGUGGCGAAGGCGGUUCUCUGGGCAUGACCUGACGCUGAGGAGCGAAAGUGUGGGGAGCGAACAGG
RNAcentral lists this ribosomal RNA (253 nucleotides) under uncultured bacterium. RNAcentral describes it as "partial 16S ribosomal RNA". It matches the Rfam family "Bacterial small subunit ribosomal RNA", at positions 524 to 776 of the family's 1533-position model. The record is from RNAcentral.